Molecule: transfer RNA, 76 nt
Filed under: Candidatus Giovannonibacteria bacterium RIFCSPLOWO2_12_FULL_44_15
Lineage: Bacteria; Candidatus Giovannoniibacteriota
Description: tRNA-Leu
Rfam family: tRNA
About the family: Transfer RNA (tRNA) molecules are approximately 80 nucleotides in length.
Source: RNAcentral
GUGGCGAAACUGGCAGACGCGCCAGCCUUAGGAGCUGGUGGGGCAACCCGUGGGAGUUCAAAUCUCCCCCUCGGCA